UAAUACAUGCAAGUCGAGGGGUAGAGAGAGCUUGCUUUCUUGAGACCGGCGCACGGGUGCGUAACGCGUAUGCAACCUACCUUCAUCUGGGGGAUAGCCCGGAGAAAUCCGGAUUAAUACCGCAUAAAAUCACAGGAUGGCAUUAUCCAAUGAUCAAACAUUUAUGGGAUGGAGAUGGGCAUGCGUGUCAUUAGCUAGUUGGCGGGGUAACGGCCCACCAAGGCGACGAUGACUAGGGGAUCUGAGAGGAUGGCCCCCCACACUGGUACUGAGACACGGACCAGACUCCUACGGGAGGCAGCAGUAAGGAAUAUUGGUCAAUGGAGGCAACUCUGAACCAGCCAUGCCGCGUGCAGGAAGACUGCCCUAUGGGUUGUAAACUGCUUUUAUUCGGGAAUAAACCUAUUUACGUGUAAAUAGCUGAAUGUACCGAAGGAAUAAGGAUCGGCUAACUCCGUGCCAGCAGCCGCGGUAAUACGGAGGAUCCAAGCGUUAUCCGGAUUUAUUGGGUUUAAAGGGUGCGUAGGCGGCCUGUUAAGUCAGGGGUGAAAGACGGUAGCUCAACUAUCGCAGUGCCCUUGAUACUGAUGGGCUUGAAUGGACUAGAGGUAGGCGGAAUGAGACAAGUAGCGGUGAAAUGCAUAGAUAUGUCUCAGAACACCGAUUGCGAAGGCAGCUUACUAUGGUCUUAUUGACGCUGAGGCACGAAAGCGUGGGGAUCAAACAGGAUUAGAUACCCUGGUAGUCCACGCCCUAAACGAUGAACACUCGCUGUUGGCGAUACACAGUCAGCGGCUAAGCGAAAGCGUUAAGUGUUCCACCUGGGGAGUACGCUCGCAAGAGUGAAACUCAAAGGAAUUGACGGGGGCCCGCACAAGCGGAGGAGCAUGUGGUUUAAUUCGAUGAUACGCGAGGAACCUUACCCGGGCUUGAAAGUUAGUGAAUGAUCCAGAGAUGGAUCAGUGAGCAAUCACACGAAACUAGGUGCUGCAUGGCUGUCGUCAGCUCGUGCCGUGAGGUGUUGGGUUAAGUCC
This 1034-nucleotide ribosomal RNA is filed under the name Pedobacter sp. RNAcentral's name for it is "bacterial SSU rRNA". It matches the Rfam family "Bacterial small subunit ribosomal RNA", at positions 49 to 1087 of the family's 1533-position model. The record is from RNAcentral. Lineage: Bacteria; Pseudomonadati; Bacteroidota; Sphingobacteriia; Sphingobacteriales; Sphingobacteriaceae.